GCAGGUAUAGUAUAAAGGUUAGUAUGUAACACUUCCAAUGUUAAUGUGUGGGUUCGAUUCCCACUAUCUGCU
Molecule: transfer RNA, 72 nt
Filed under: Crassvirales sp.
Lineage: Duplodnaviria; Heunggongvirae; Uroviricota; Caudoviricetes; Crassvirales
Description: tRNA-Gly
Rfam family: tRNA
About the family: Transfer RNA (tRNA) molecules are approximately 80 nucleotides in length.
Source: RNAcentral